RNAcentral lists this ribosomal RNA (2745 nucleotides) under Escherichia coli 3-020-07_S1_C1. RNAcentral describes it as "bacterial LSU rRNA". It matches the Rfam family "Bacterial large subunit ribosomal RNA". Lineage: Bacteria; Pseudomonadati; Pseudomonadota; Gammaproteobacteria; Enterobacterales; Enterobacteriaceae. The record is from RNAcentral.
ACCGUUAUAACCGGCGAUUUCCGAAUGGGGAAACCCAGUGUGUUUCGACACACUAUCAUUAACUGAAUCCAUAGGUUAAUGAGGCGAACCGGGGGAACUGAAACAUCUAAGUACCCCGAGGAAAAGAAAUCAACCGAGAUUCCCCCAGUAGCGGCGAGCGAACGGGGAGCAGCCCAGAGCCUGAAUCAGUGUGUGUGUUAGUGGAAGCGUCUGGAAAGGCGCGCGAUACAGGGUGACAGCCCCGUACACAAAAAUGCACAUGCUGUGAGCUCGAUGAGUAGGGCGGGACACGUGGUAUCCUGUCUGAAUAUGGGGGGACCAUCCUCCAAGGCUAAAUACUCCUGACUGACCGAUAGUGAACCAGUACCGUGAGGGAAAGGCGAAAAGAACCCCGGCGAGGGGAGUGAAAAAGAACCUGAAACCGUGUACGUACAAGCAGUGGGAGCACGCUUAGGCGUGUGACUGCGUACCUUUUGUAUAAUGGGUCAGCGACUUAUAUUCUGUAGCAAGGUUAACCGAAUAGGGGAGCCGAAGGGAAACCGAGUCUUAACUGGGCGUUAAGUUGCAGGGUAUAGACCCGAAACCCGGUGAUCUAGCCAUGGGCAGGUUGAAGGUUGGGUAACACUAACUGGAGGACCGAACCGACUAAUGUUGAAAAAUUAGCGGAUGACUUGUGGCUGGGGGUGAAAGGCCAAUCAAACCGGGAGAUAGCUGGUUCUCCCCGAAAGCUAUUUAGGUAGCGCCUCGUGAAUUCAUCUCCGGGGGUAGAGCACUGUUUCGGCAAGGGGGUCAUCCCGACUUACCAACCCGAUGCAAACUGCGAAUACCGGAGAAUGUUAUCACGGGAGACACACGGCGGGUGCUAACGUCCGUCGUGAAGAGGGAAACAACCCAGACCGCCAGCUAAGGUCCCAAAGUCAUGGUUAAGUGGGAAACGAUGUGGGAAGGCCCAGACAGCCAGGAUGUUGGCUUAGAAGCAGCCAUCAUUUAAAGAAAGCGUAAUAGCUCACUGGUCGAGUCGGCCUGCGCGGAAGAUGUAACGGGGCUAAACCAUGCACCGAAGCUGCGGCAGCGACGCUUAUGCGUUGUUGGGUAGGGGAGCGUUCUGUAAGCCUGUGAAGGUGUGCUGUGAGGCAUGCUGGAGGUAUCAGAAGUGCGAAUGCUGACAUAAGUAACGAUAAAGCGGGUGAAAAGCCCGCUCGCCGGAAGACCAAGGGUUCCUGUCCAACGUUAAUCGGGGCAGGGUGAGUCGACCCCUAAGGCGAGGCCGAAAGGCGUAGUCGAUGGGAAACAGGUUAAUAUUCCUGUACUUGGUGUUACUGCGAAGGGGGGACGGAGAAGGCUAUGUUGGCCGGGCGACGGUUGUCCCGGUUUAAGCGUGUAGGCUGGUUUUCCAGGCAAAUCCGGAAAAUCAAGGCUGAGGCGUGAUGACGAGGCACUACGGUGCUGAAGCAACAAAUGCCCUGCUUCCAGGAAAAGCCUCUAAGCAUCAGGUAACAUCAAAUCGUACCCCAAACCGACACAGGUGGUCAGGUAGAGAAUACCAAGGCGCUUGAGAGAACUCGGGUGAAGGAACUAGGCAAAAUGGUGCCGUAACUUCGGGAGAAGGCACGCUGAUAUGUAGGUGAAGCGACUUGCUCGUGGAGCUGAAAUCAGUCGAAGAUACCAGCUGGCUGCAACUGUUUAUUAAAAACACAGCACUGUGCAAACACGAAAGUGGACGUAUACGGUGUGACGCCUGCCCGGUGCCGGAAGGUUAAUUGAUGGGGUCAGCGCAAGCGAAGCUCUUGAUCGAAGCCCCGGUAAACGGCGGCCGUAACUAUAACGGUCCUAAGGUAGCGAAAUUCCUUGUCGGGUAAGUUCCGACCUGCACGAAUGGCGUAAUGAUGGCCAGGCUGUCUCCACCCGAGACUCAGUGAAAUUGAACUCGCUGUGAAGAUGCAGUGUACCCGCGGCAAGACGGAAAGACCCCGUGAACCUUUACUAUAGCUUGACACUGAACAUUGAGCCUUGAUGUGUAGGAUAGGUGGGAGGCUUUGAAGUGUGGACGCCAGUCUGCAUGGAGCCGACCUUGAAAUACCACCCUUUAAUGUUUGAUGUUCUAACGUUGACCCGUAAUCCGGGUUGCGGACAGUGUCUGGUGGGUAGUUUGACUGGGGCGGUCUCCUCCUAAAGAGUAACGGAGGAGCACGAAGGUUGGCUAAUCCUGGUCGGACAUCAGGAGGUUAGUGCAAUGGCAUAAGCCAGCUUGACUGCGAGCGUGACGGCGCGAGCAGGUGCGAAAGCAGGUCAUAGUGAUCCGGUGGUUCUGAAUGGAAGGGCCAUCGCUCAACGGAUAAAAGGUACUCCGGGGAUAACAGGCUGAUACCGCCCAAGAGUUCAUAUCGACGGCGGUGUUUGGCACCUCGAUGUCGGCUCAUCACAUCCUGGGGCUGAAGUAGGUCCCAAGGGUAUGGCUGUUCGCCAUUUAAAGUGGUACGCGAGCUGGGUUUAGAACGUCGUGAGACAGUUCGGUCCCUAUCUGCCGUGGGCGCUGGAGAACUGAGGGGGGCUGCUCCUAGUACGAGAGGACCGGAGUGGACGCAUCACUGGUGUUCGGGUUGUCAUGCCAAUGGCACUGCCCGGUAGCUAAAUGCGGAAGAGAUAAGUGCUGAAAGCAUCUAAGCACGAAACUUGCCCCGAGAUGAGUUCUCCCUGACCCUUUAAGGGUCCUGAAGGAACGUUGAAGACGACGACGUUGAUAGG